This 429-nucleotide ribosomal RNA is filed under the name Bacteroidota bacterium. RNAcentral's name for it is "Bacteroidetes bacterium partial 16S ribosomal RNA". It matches the Rfam family "Bacterial small subunit ribosomal RNA", at positions 355 to 776 of the family's 1533-position model. Lineage: Bacteria; Pseudomonadati; Bacteroidota. The record is from RNAcentral.
UAGGGGAUCUUCGGCAAUGGGGGGAACCCUGACCGAGCAACGCCGCGUGAGUGAAGAAGGUUUUCGGAUCGUAAAGCUCUGUUGUUAAGGAAGAACGAGUGUGAGAAUGGAAAGUUCAUACUGUGACGGUACUUAACCAGAAAGGGACGGCUAACUACGUGCCAGCAGCCGCGGUAAUACGUAGGUCCUGAGCGUUGUCCGGAUUUAUUGGGCGUAAAGCGAGCGCAGGCGGUUAGAUAAGUCUGAAGUUAAAGGCAGUGGCUCAACCAUUGUAGGCUUUGGAAACUGUUUAACUUGAGUGCAGAAGGGGAGAGUGGAAUUCCAUGUGUAGCGGUGAAAUGCGUAGAUAUAUGAAGGAACACCGGUGGCGAAAGCGGCUCUCUGGUCUGUAACUGACGCUGAGGCUCGAAAGCGUGGGGAGCAAACGGG